RNAcentral lists this long non-coding RNA (373 nucleotides) under Pogona vitticeps (central bearded dragon). Its description in RNAcentral is "lncRNA (ENSPVIG00000022597.1)". Lineage: Eukaryota; Metazoa; Chordata; Lepidosauria; Squamata; Agamidae. The record is from RNAcentral.
UGUGGGUGGAGUUUGAAAUUCUGUGUGUAAUGCUGUCGGUUUGCUGUCUGGAGUGCUGUAAAUAGCUGCUGUAAAUAUUUUCCUGAAACUACAAGAUAAAAGCCUUCGCAGGAGAAAGACAACAAAUUGUCCUUUACACCCUUCAAUUGCCAUAUUCCAGUCAUGGAAUUCACCAGAGCAAGUGAACAAGAGGAGGAAGAAGAGCAACAGCAACAAUGAGGAAUCCCGCCGCCACCACUUUGUCAUCCCAAUCUCAUGCUGGAACUGGUCUGUUUCAAGAGAAUUGAUGAAUAUCCGUAUUCUAAUCUCAUCAUGCUGAGAUAGCCAGAUCUGAGAAAAAUUUCAGUGUCAGCACAAUUUUUUUUCACAUCUA